RNAcentral lists this ribosomal RNA (253 nucleotides) under uncultured bacterium. Its description in RNAcentral is "partial 16S ribosomal RNA". It matches the Rfam family "Bacterial small subunit ribosomal RNA", at positions 524 to 776 of the family's 1533-position model. The record is from RNAcentral.
UACGAAGGGUGCAAGCGUUACUCGGAAUUACUGGGCGUAAAGCGUGCGUAGGUGGUUUGUUAAGUCUGAUGUGAAAGCCCUGGGCUCAACCUGGGAAUUGCAGUGGAUACGGGCUGGCUAGAGGCAGGCAGGGGAGAACGGAAUUCCUGGUGUAGCGGUGAAAUGCGCAGAUAUCAGGAGGAACACCGGUGGCGAAGGCGGUUCUCUGGGCCUGUACUGACGCUGAGGAGCGAAAGCGUGGGGAGCAAACAGG